UACGUAGGGGGCAAGCGUUAUCCGGAUUUACUGGGUGUAAAGGGGGCGCAGACGGCAAUGCAAGCCAGGAGUGAAAGCCCGGGGCCCAACCCCGGGACUGCUCUUGGAACUGCAUGGCUGGAGUACAGGAGGGGCAGGCGGAAUUCCUAGUGUAGCGGUGAAAUGCGUAGAUAUUAGGAGGAACACCGGUGGCGAAGGCGGCCUGCUGGACUGUGACUGACGUUGAGGCUCGAAAGCGUGGGGAGCAAACAGG
Molecule: ribosomal RNA, 253 nt
Filed under: uncultured bacterium
Lineage: Bacteria
Description: partial 16S ribosomal RNA
Rfam family: Bacterial small subunit ribosomal RNA
Source: RNAcentral